GACGAACGCUGGCGGCGUGCCUAAUACAUGCAAGUUGAGCGAUGAAGAUUGGUGCUUGCACCAAUUUGAAGAGCAGCGAACGGGUGAGUAACGCGUGGGGAAUCUGCCUUUGAGCGGGGGACAACAUUUGGAAACGAAUGCUAAUACCGCAUAAUAACUUUAAACAUAAGUUUUAAGUUUGAAAGAUGCAAUUGCAUCACUCAAAGAUGAUCCCGCGUUGUAUUAGCUAGUUGGUGAGGUAAAGGCUCACCAAGGCGAUGAUACAUAGCCGACCUGAGAGGGUGAUCGGCCACAUUGGGACUGAGACACGGCCCAAACUCCUACGGGAGGCAGCAGUAGGGAAUCUUCGGCAAUGGACGAAAGUCUGACCGAGCAACGCCGGGGGAGGGAAGAAGGUUUUCGGAUCGUAAAACUCUGUUGGUAGAGAAGAACGUUGGUGAGAGUGGAAAGCUCAUCAAGUGACGGUAACUACCCAGAAAGGGACGGCUAACUACGUG
Molecule: ribosomal RNA, 497 nt
Filed under: uncultured bacterium
Lineage: Bacteria
Description: partial 16S ribosomal RNA
Rfam family: Bacterial small subunit ribosomal RNA
Source: RNAcentral